This 1172-nucleotide long non-coding RNA is filed under the name Pogona vitticeps (central bearded dragon). Its description in RNAcentral is "lncRNA (ENSPVIG00000002438.1)". The record is from RNAcentral. Lineage: Eukaryota; Metazoa; Chordata; Lepidosauria; Squamata; Agamidae.
AGGGAAGGAGAAAAACUAAAUCUUCACAGUGCAAUUCACCAUCAAAGGUAUGGCCAUCAUUGUGGGGUUGGAACAGGGCUGAAGCUCCAUGGGUUGACACAGCCCUGUUGGACAUAAAAGUAAAGUUAAAGGUUCCCCUUGACAAUUUUUGUCCAGUCGUGUCCGACUCUAGGGGGCGGUGCUCAUCCCUGUUUCCAUCCCAUAGAGCUAGCGUUUGUCUGAAGACAAUCUUCCAUGGUCACGUGGCCAGUGCGACUUAGACACGGAACGCUGUUACCUUUCCACUGAGGUGGUACCUAUUUAUCUACUCGCAUUUUGCAUGCUUUCGAACCGCUAGGUUGGUGGAAGCUGGGACAAGCGACGGGAGCUCACUCUGUUGUGUGGAUUCGAUCUUACGACGGCUGGUCUUCUGACCCUGCAGCACAGAGGCUUCUGUGGUUUAACCCACAGCGCCACCACAUCCCCUGUUGGACAUACUGAUCUCAAAUCAGGGAGGCACAGAAGGCGUCUCCCAAAAUAAUCCAUGCACCCCAUGAGCAGCAUCUGUCAGCUGGGCCACUCCAGAUGCACCAAUUUGAGGAAAGGACAAAGAAGAAUAAAAUGCAUGAGGAUGUACAGGAUUCUGGCUUACCAGAAGAAACUGGUGUGGGGCUUUUUACUCAACAACUCCAACUACCACAAACCACCUUAGCCAGGAUAUACACUGUGAUGUAAAAAGCAAAGUUCUUCUCAAAAUAUUCUCAGCCCAGGAAUUUGCUAUCAGUAUUAGAACUGAGUGAGUUUGUUUUGUUUCAUUUUUGUUGUUCUUUUCAUUUCAGCACUGUAAUUUGGAUAAGAAAAGUAAUUUUGUUGGAGGUGCUGUUUAAUAAUUUAAAGCCAGAAAGUUUUACUAAUCUGCUACUUAACGCAGAGAUCUUCAGGAACAGCAGAGUCUAUUUUCUACCCUAUGUCCAAGAUUUCCCCUUUUAGCACCAAGCGACCAACAUGAAUCUGACCCAACUCUGGGAGGCAGUGGAAGACAGGAGGGCCUGGUGUGCUCUGGUCCAUGGGGUCACAAAGAGGCAGUCAUGAUUUAACGACUAAACAACAACUUCACCAGUAUCAAGCCAGAAUUUAAACAGCAGGUCUACUGUGCUUAAUGGAUUUACUUACAGCACUUUAUAAGUUUAAGA